This 744-nucleotide ribosomal RNA is filed under the name Triticum aestivum (bread wheat). RNAcentral's name for it is "partial small subunit ribosomal RNA". The record is from RNAcentral. Lineage: Eukaryota; Viridiplantae; Streptophyta; Magnoliopsida; Poales; Poaceae.
AUGUUUGUUGCAGAGAAUAUGUCGGAAGAACUGGCGAUCCUGGGACGAACUAGGGUACGUGGAGAUUCGUCGCAGUCUCACCAACAAACCAUUAUUGACUCUAGCCCGCAAAUGUCGAUUGAUGAUUUGUUGAAGGAAAUUAAUGGAGCCAAUGGCAUGCCGGUGCUCUUCGUCCCUUCCUCCGACGGGCGGCUAGUGGCCGUGCCGGUACCCGUGAAUGGCCUCCAGAAUCUGGCCCUUGCAAAUCGCGCCCACGAUGAGUCUGCCAAAAAGAAGCAGCAGGAUUUCCGUGCCUGGCUACUGCUACUGGCUUCACUAAUUGCCACCGUCACCUUCACCGCAGGGCUCACCCCACCUGAUGGUUUCUGGGGCGAGGACAAGGAUGGACACAUCGGUGGUAACCCAAUUAUGCGUGACAAAUUUCCUAGGAGGUACCGCAUAUAUGUGGGAAGCAACAGGAUGGCCUUCUGCUUCUCCAUGGUAAUCAUUGGAAUACUCGCCAAUAACAUAGCUAACAAGCUGAGCAAACUCGUGAGGUUUUUUUUUUUGCCAUUAUUGGUACCUUGUUGUCUUCUGAGCUUGACGACUAGCUUCAUCAGCGGCACGUGGGACUACUCUAAAGAUGAUACCUACUCAUGUGUUACGUUUGUAGCCGCUUUUCUCAGUUUGGCCAUUCUUUGGGGUUCGGGUUUGAUUGAGCCGAUAAUUGAAAGACACGAGCGAUCCACGGAAUCCUCCGCUUAA